UCCCCGAGUGGAUGUGUGGUGGUAUUGUGU
Molecule: non-coding RNA, 30 nt
Filed under: Homo sapiens (human)
Lineage: Eukaryota; Metazoa; Chordata; Mammalia; Primates; Hominidae
Source: RNAcentral